AUGUCUGAUGUGGUGCCUGGGCUCAUUGGCCUCAUUCCACGGAUCAGCAUCAGCAACGUGCAGCUGGCGGAUACUGUCAUGUUCACCAUUGGAGCUCUGUCUGAAUGGCUGGCUGACCACCCUGUCAUGAUCAACAGUGUUCUGCCCCUUGUACUGCAUGCCCUAGGCAAUCCUGAGCUCUCUGUCUCUUCUGUGUCCACCCUCAAGAAGAUCUGCCGAGAAUGCAAGUAUGACCUGCCACCCUAUGCUGCUAACAUCGUGGCUGUCUCCCAGGAUGUGUUGAUGAAACAGAUCCACAAGACGAGCCAGUGCAUGUGGCUGAUGCAGGCACUGGGCUUCCUGCUGUCAGCCCUGCAGGUGGAGGAGAUCCUUAAGAACCUGCACUCACUUAUCUCGCCCUACAUCCAGCAGCUGGAGAAGCUAGCAGAGGAGAUACCUAAUCCUUCCAACAAGCUGGCCAUUGUCCACAUCUUGGGCCUUCUCUCCAACCUCUUCACCACACUGGAUGUCAGUCAUCAUGAGGACGAUCAUGAAGGCCCUGAGCUCCGGAAGCUGCCAGUGCCACAGGGACCCAACCCCGCGGUAUGCGCUAUCUUUGAGAAGUCUGUUAAGACCCUGCUGGAUGACUUUGCCCCCAUGGUGCCACAGCUGUGUGAGAUGCUGGAUUGGAUGUACAGCACCAUCCCCCAGGCCUCUGCUCUUGACCUCACUUGACAGCUGGUCCACAUCUUUGCUCAUGAACCUGCCCACUUUCCCCCAAUCGAGGCCCUCUUCCUGCUCGUCACCUCUGUCACACUCACUCUCUUCCAGCAAGGGCCCAGGGAUCAUCCUGAUAUUGUUGAUUCAUUUAUGCAACUCCUGGCACAGGCUCUGAAGUGGAAGCCAGAUUUGUUCCUGUGUGAAAGAUUGGAUGUCAAGGCUGUGUUCCAGUGUGCUGUGCUGGCCCUCAAGUUCCCCGAGGCACCUACUCUCAAGGCCUCCUGUGGCUUCUUUACAGAGCUGCUGCCUCGGUGUGGGGAAGUAGAACCCGUGGGAAAAGUGGUUCAAGAGGAUGGCCGUAUGCUGCUCAUAGCAGUGCUGGAGGCCAUUGGGGGCCAGGCCUCCCGAAGCCUCAUGGACUGCUUUGCCGACAUCCUAUUUGCUCUGAACAAACACUGCUUCAGCCUCCUGAGCAUGUGGAUCAAGGAGGCCCUGCAGCCACCCAGUUUUCCCUUUGCCAGCCUCAGCCCUGAACAGAAGGACACCUUCAGCCAGCAGAUCCUUCGUGAGCGAGUGAACAGGAGGCGGGUGAAGGAGUUAGUGAAGGAAUUCACACUGCUGUGCCGGGGGCUUCAUGGCAUAGAUUAUACAGCUGACUACUGAGGGGCGCCCCGUCCCACCCACGCCUCCUCACCCCUCCCUAUCCCCAAAGAGUAAACCUGGAUCUUCACUGCAAAAA
This is an RNA transcript of Enhydra lutris kenyoni (northern sea otter), 1438 nucleotides long. It is a transcript of the gene named importin-13 pseudogene, with no coding region annotated. The transcript has a single exon. NCBI's taxonomy places the organism in Eukaryota, Metazoa, Chordata, Mammalia, Carnivora, Mustelidae. The record is from RefSeq and is a predicted model, not a curated record.